GAUGAACGCUGGCGGCGUGCCUAACACAUGCAAGUCGAACGAAAAGACGCUGCGCUUGCUGGGCGCUCGAUUGCCGAACGGGGGAGAAUCACGCGAGUAUCCUGCCCCUGUCAUUGGGAUAACACCUCGAAACACGGGCGAUAAUCCGAUAGGAGCUCCUGAUGCACGGUGGGGGUUGGUAAGAGUCGGCGGUUGGGGAUGGACUCGCGGCUUACCAGCUUGUUGGGCGGGUAGUGGCUUACCAAGCUUUUGACGGGUAGCCGGCCUGAGCGGGUGACGGGCCACGUUGGGACUAAGGAACGGACCAGACUCCUACGGGGGGCAGCAGUGGAGAAUAGUGCACAAUGGGCGGAAGCGUGAUGCAGCAGCGCCACGUGCUGGAUAACGGCCUUCGGGUUGUAAACCGCUUUCGCCUGUGACGAAGCGUGAGUGACGGUAAUGGGUAAAGAAGCACCGGCUAACUACGUG
This 468-nucleotide ribosomal RNA is filed under the name uncultured bacterium. RNAcentral's name for it is "partial 16S ribosomal RNA". It matches the Rfam family "Bacterial small subunit ribosomal RNA", at positions 28 to 507 of the family's 1533-position model. The record is from RNAcentral.